GACGAACGCUGGCGGCGUGCUUAACACAUGCAAGUCGAGCGGUAAGGCCCUUUCGGGGGUACACGAGCGGCGAACGGGUGAGUAACACGUGGGUGACCUGCCCUCAGCUCUGGGAUAAGCCUGGGAAACCGGGUCUAAUACCGGAUAUGACUCCAUGACGCAUGUUGUGGGGUGGAAAGCCUUGUGCGGCUGAGGAUGGGCCCGCGGCCUAUCAGCUUGUUGGUGGGGUGAUGGCCUACCAAGGCGACGACGGGUAGCCGGCCUGAGAGGGCGACCGGCCACACUGGGACUGAGACACGGCCCAGACUCCUACGGGAGGCAGCAGUGGGGAAUCUUGCGCAAUGGGCGAAAGCCUGAACGCAGCGACGCCGCGUGAGGGAUGGACGGCCUGG
RNAcentral lists this ribosomal RNA (392 nucleotides) under uncultured bacterium. RNAcentral describes it as "bacterial SSU rRNA". It matches the Rfam family "Bacterial small subunit ribosomal RNA", at positions 28 to 420 of the family's 1533-position model. The record is from RNAcentral.